CGUGUAGGCGGGCUGGAAAGUCAGGUGUGAAAUACUAUGGCUCAACCAUGGAGUGUCAUCUGAAACUACCAGUCUUGAGUUCAGGAGAGGGUGGUGGAAUUCCCGGUGUAGCGGUGAAAUGCGUAGAUAUCGGGAGGAAUACCGGAGGCGAAGGCGGCCACCUGGACUGACACUGACGCUGAGGCGCGAAAGCGUGGGCAGCAAACA
Molecule: ribosomal RNA, 207 nt
Filed under: uncultured bacterium
Lineage: Bacteria
Description: partial 16S ribosomal RNA
Rfam family: Bacterial small subunit ribosomal RNA
Source: RNAcentral